This 145-nucleotide unclassified non-coding RNA is filed under the name uncultured Ascomycota. Its description in RNAcentral is "sequence contains ITS1". Lineage: Eukaryota; Fungi; Ascomycota. The record is from RNAcentral. RNAcentral also lists the same sequence under 1 other name.
UCGUAGGGCUUCUGCCCUGUCGAGAUAGCGUCCUUGCCUAUUUUUUGGAGUACCUUUUCGUUUCCUCAGCAGGCUUGCCUGCUACUGGGGACCUCUUAAACUCUUUGUAAAUACAGCAUCUGUCUGAACAAACAAACAAAAAUCA